AGUCAAUAGAUACCCAGGUAGUCCCAGCUGUAAACGAUGCGCGUUAGGUGUAUCGGUGACCACGAGUCACCGAGGUGCCGAAGAGAAGUCGUGAAACGUGCCGCCUGGGAAGUACGGUCGCAAGGCUGAAACUUAAAGGAAUUGGCGGGGGAGCACCACAACAGGUGGAGCCUGCGGUUUAAUCGGACUCAACGCCGGGAAGCUCACCGGAUAAGACAGCUGAAUGAUAGCCGGGUUGAAGACUCUGCUUGACUAGCUGAGAGGAGGUGCAUGGCCGUCGUCAGUUCGUACUGUGAAGCAUCCUGUUAAGUCAGGCAACGAGCGAGACCCACGCCAACAGUUGCCAGCAUGUCCUCCGGGAUGGUGGGGACACUGUUGGGACCGCCUCUGCUAAAGAGGAGGAAGGAAUGGGCAACGGUAGGUCAGCAUGCCCCGAAUUAUCCGGGCUACACGCGGGCUACAAUGGUCAGGACAAUGGGUAUCAACACCGAAAGGUGAAGGCAAUCUCCUAAACCUGUCCUUAGUUCGGAUU
RNAcentral lists this ribosomal RNA (532 nucleotides) under uncultured bacterium. RNAcentral describes it as "bacterial SSU rRNA". It matches the Rfam family "Archaeal small subunit ribosomal RNA", at positions 726 to 1255 of the family's 1478-position model. The record is from RNAcentral.